ACACCGAUGGUGAAGCGGUUAUCAUGCUUGCCUUCCAUAAAAUCGGUUCCAGGUGUGUCAGCAAGCGGCAGGGGUUCGACUCCCCUUCGGUGUA
Hymenopellis radicata is the source of this 94-nucleotide non-coding RNA. NCBI's taxonomy places the organism in Eukaryota, Fungi, Basidiomycota, Agaricomycetes, Agaricales, Physalacriaceae. The record is from the annotation of a GenBank genome assembly.